GGCAAGAUGGCCGAGCGGUUAAGGCGGUAGACGUAUGUUCUACUCUCGAAAGAGGCGGGGGUUCGAAUCCCCCUCUUGUCA
Molecule: non-coding RNA, 81 nt
Organism: Biscogniauxia marginata
Lineage: Eukaryota; Fungi; Ascomycota; Sordariomycetes; Xylariales; Xylariaceae
Source: the annotation of a GenBank genome assembly